UACGGGAGGCAGCAGUGGGGAAUAUUGCACAAUGGGCGAAAGCCUGAUGCAGCUAUGCCGCGUGUAUGAAGAAGGCCUUAGGGUUGUAAAGUACUUUCAUCGGGGAGGAAAAAACAAAACUAAUAAUUUUAUUUCUUGACGUUACCCGAAAAAGAAGCACCGGCUAACUCCGUGCCAGCAGCCGCGGUAAUACGGAGGGUGCUAGCGUUAAUCAGAAUUACUGGGCGUAAAGAGCACGUAGGUGGUUUUUUUAAAGUCAGAUGUGAAAUCCCUGGGCUUUAACCUAGGAACUGCAUUUUGAAACUGAAAUACUAGAGUAUCGUAGAGGGAGGUAGAAUUCUAGGUGUAGCGGUGAAAUGCGUAGAUAUCUGGAGGAAUACCUGUGGCGAAAGCGGCCUCCUAAACGAAUACUGACACUGAGGGUGCGAAAGCGUGGGGAGCAAACGAGGGAUUAGAUACCCG
This 462-nucleotide ribosomal RNA is filed under the name uncultured bacterium. RNAcentral describes it as "bacterial SSU rRNA". It matches the Rfam family "Bacterial small subunit ribosomal RNA", at positions 340 to 789 of the family's 1533-position model. The record is from RNAcentral.